UACGAAGGGUGCAAGCGUUACUCGGAAUUACUGGGCGUAAAGCGUGCGUAGGUGGUUCGUUAAGUCUGAUGUGAAAGCCCUGGGCUCAACCUGGGAAUUGCAUUGGAUACUGGCGGGCUAGAGUGCGGUAGAGGGUAGUGGAAUUCCCGGUGUAGCAGUGAAAUGCGUAGAGAUCGGGAGGAACAUCCGUGGCGAAGGCGACUACCUGGACCAGCACUGACACUGAGGCACGAAAGCGUGGGGAGCAAACAGG
Molecule: ribosomal RNA, 253 nt
Filed under: uncultured bacterium
Lineage: Bacteria
Description: partial 16S ribosomal RNA
Rfam family: Bacterial small subunit ribosomal RNA
Source: RNAcentral